AUUAUGGAGAGUUUGAUCCUGGCUCAGGACGAACGCUGGCGGCAUGCCUAAUACAUGCAAGUCGAGCGAAU
Molecule: ribosomal RNA, 71 nt
Filed under: Psychrobacillus psychrodurans
Lineage: Bacteria; Bacillati; Bacillota; Bacilli; Caryophanales; Bacillaceae
Description: partial 16S ribosomal RNA
Rfam family: Bacterial small subunit ribosomal RNA
Source: RNAcentral